Long non-coding RNA from Oncorhynchus gorbuscha (pink salmon), 970 nucleotides. RefSeq lists it as uncharacterized. Lineage: Eukaryota; Metazoa; Chordata; Actinopteri; Salmoniformes; Salmonidae. The record is from RefSeq and is a predicted model, not a curated record. The transcript has 2 exons.
UAAGGAUUUCCACUUUAAUUGAUGAAUAAUAAUUGUUUUAAUAAUGUCAAUAAUAACUUGAACUUUUAACAUGACAGUGGCCCCUGUGUUUUCCCCCCAGAAACAUACAUGCAGACCCACACACACACACACAAGCAUAUUCACACCCCUCCAACUCUCCACUUUAAAACCCUUUAACAGAGUCAUAGGUCUCGGGUCUAUUGAUGGGAAUCAGUCUUCAGGACUGUGUCCAAGUACAGCGGGUGAGUAGCUACGUAUUACAGACAGUAAGGGGCGCCAUAAGACAAAAAAUGACAUUGUUACCAUAGCAGGAUCCUUAUUCAUUAGUGCACACAGGAGCACAACGUAGGCAAACAAUUUGCACUGGAAAACGAGCGUUUCUUAUUGGACAACCUCAGGCAGUCCAUUUUCCUGUGUUUUGGUACCUAAAUGAAUAGGCUGUAACCCGGCUCAGCUGCUGCAAAGAUGCCGGACAGAAAUACCAGGAUGGAAGCAAAUGGACUCCUGAAACAACCAGCAAACCAGGCUGUCGUCUUGUGAAACGGUGGAUGUAAAGAAUCUAGCUAGAUAAAAGCGUUUACUGCAAAUUGAAUGUACAAUUUUGUAAGCUUGCCUUGUGGAUAACGUAACUAGCUAACUAUGUUCCUGCUUAUUGGGCAGUGGAGGAUCAAAUCCCUGUAUGCCUAUGGAUGUGUAGCUGUCCAGCUGAUCUGUGUAUGGACCCAAACGUUUGGUAUACAUAUUAGUUCAGAACCUAGAUAUGAACUUUAACCAUCAUAGCUGGUUGUAUCAACUUCAAAACAGUCUGAAUGACAUUAAUGAAGCCUAUGGAUUGAGUAGAAUAUAACUUUGUGCCAAGGAUGCAAGUCGUAUAUACAUGUAGCAUGAGAUCCCCACAUUGUAGCCUGUACAUUUAAUAUAUUCACUAAUCAUGUACUCUACCUUGGUAAAUAAAGGUGCAGUUCAGGUA